GUGUCAGCAGCCGCGGUAAUACAUAGGCUCCAAGCGUUGUUCGGAAUUACUGGGCGUAAAGCGAGUGUAGGCUGUCCGCCAAGUCGAUUGUGAAAUCUCCCGGCUUAACUGGGAGGGUGCGGUCGAAACUGGCGGACUAGAGUUCGGGAGAGGAGAGUGGAAUUCCUGGUGUAGCGGUGAAAUGCGUAGAUAUCAGGAGGAACACCGGCGGUGAAGACGGCUCUCUGGACCGAUACUGACGCUGAGACUCGAAAGCGUGGGGAGCAAACAGGAUUAGAUACCCCGGUAGUCC
RNAcentral lists this ribosomal RNA (292 nucleotides) under uncultured bacterium. RNAcentral describes it as "partial 16S ribosomal RNA". It matches the Rfam family "Bacterial small subunit ribosomal RNA", at positions 505 to 796 of the family's 1533-position model. The record is from RNAcentral.